CCUACGGGUGGCAGCAGUGGGGAAUAUUGGGCAAUGGGCGCAAGCCUGACCCAGCAACGCCGCGUGAAGGAAGAAGGCUUUCGGGUUGUAAACUUCUUUUGUCAGGGAAGAGUAUAAGACGGUACCUGACGAAUAAGCCACGGCUAACUACGUGCCAGCAGCCGCGGUAAUACGUAGGUGGCAAGCGUUGUCCGGAUUUACUGGGUGUAAAGGGCGUGUAGCCGGGUUGACAAGUCAGAUGUGAAAUCCUGCGGCUUAACCGCAGAACUGCAUUUGAAACUGUUGAUCUUGAGUACUGGAGAGGCAGGCGGAAUUCCUAGUGUAGCGGUGAAAUGCGUAGAUAUCAGGAGGAACACCAGUGGCGAAGGCGGUCUGCUGGACAGAAACUGACGGUGAGGCGCGAAAGCGUGGGGAGCAAACAGGAUUAGAUACCCCAGUAGUC
Molecule: ribosomal RNA, 442 nt
Filed under: uncultured bacterium
Lineage: Bacteria
Description: partial 16S ribosomal RNA
Rfam family: Bacterial small subunit ribosomal RNA
Source: RNAcentral